ACUUGGCCUCAUGUAUCUACUGGACUGCGGUCAUCCCCUCAGAGAAAUUUAACGUAGAUCUCCGGUCACUAAAGGGGGUACCCAGGGAGGCAACUCUUACACAUGUGUGUGGGCUGCUGGGUCUUCAGAGAUUAGAGGCGGAACCCUGGCUGUGCCAGACAAAUAUUCACCUGAUGAGCAUAAAAGAAAAAUUAAACUGCUUGUUGGGGAGGGAGUGGAUAUAUUUAUACCAAUUUCAGAGUUCUAUUUCCUGUCCUUUCUGCCGUGAGGGAAGGAGCUAACCAAUAGGUAUUUAUU
Pelobates cultripes (western spadefoot toad) is the source of this 297-nucleotide non-coding RNA. The record is from the annotation of a GenBank genome assembly. NCBI's taxonomy places the organism in Eukaryota, Metazoa, Chordata, Amphibia, Anura, Pelobatidae.